UACGAAGGGUGCAAACGUUGCUCGGAAUUAUUGGGCGUAAAGAGCUCGUAGGCGGUUUGUCGCGUCUGCUGUGAAAACUGGGGGCUCAACCCCCAGCCUGCAGUGGGUACGGGCAGACUAGAGUGCGGUAGGGGAGAUUGGAAUUCCUGGUGUAGCGGUGGAAUGCGCAGAUAUCAGGAGGAACACCGGUGGCGAAGGCGGGUCUCUGGGCCGAUACUGACGCUGAGGAGCGAAAGCGUGGGGAGCGAACAGG
Molecule: ribosomal RNA, 253 nt
Filed under: uncultured bacterium
Lineage: Bacteria
Description: partial 16S ribosomal RNA
Rfam family: Bacterial small subunit ribosomal RNA
Source: RNAcentral